Molecule: non-coding RNA, 73 nt
Organism: Ovis aries (sheep)
Lineage: Eukaryota; Metazoa; Chordata; Mammalia; Artiodactyla; Bovidae
Source: Rfam
UCCCUGGUAGCUUAGCUGGUAAAGACUUUGCCUGCAAUGCAUGAGACCCCAGUUUGAUUUCUGGGUCAGGAAG